Molecule: ribosomal RNA, 776 nt
Filed under: uncultured Staphylococcus sp.
Lineage: Bacteria; Bacillati; Bacillota; Bacilli; Caryophanales; Staphylococcaceae
Description: bacterial SSU rRNA
Rfam family: Bacterial small subunit ribosomal RNA
Source: RNAcentral
GUGAGUAACACGUGGAUAACCUACCUAUAAGACUGGGAUAACUUCGGGAAACCGGAGCUAAUACCGGAUAAUAUUUUGAACCGCAUGGUUCAAAAGUGAAAGACGGUCUUGCUGUCACUUAUCAGAUGGAUCCGCGCUGCAUUAGCUAGUUGGUAGGGUAACGGCUUACCAAGGCAACGAUGCAUAGCCGACCUGAGAGGGUGAUCGGCCACACUGGAACUGAGACACGGUCCAGACUCCUACGGGAGGCAGCAGUAGGGAAUCUUCCGCAAUGGGCGAAAGCCUGACGGAGCAACGCCGCGUGAGUGAUGAAGGUCUUCGGAUCGUANAACUCUGUUAUUAGGGAAGAACAUAUGUGUAAGUAACUGUGCACAUCUUGACGGUACCUAAUCAGAAAGCCACGGCUAACUACGUGCCAGCAGCCGCGGUAAUACGUAGGUGGCAAGCGUUAUCCGGAAUUAUUGGGCGUAAAGCGCGCGUAGGCGGUUUUUUGAAGUCUGAUGUGAAAGCCCACGGCUCAACCUGGAUGGGUCAUUGGUAACUGGAAUACUUUGAUGUGGCAGAUAGAGCCCCACUGGAAUUCCAUGUUGUAGCUGGUGAAAUGCGCAGAGUAUAUGGAGUGAACUAUCCAUUGGCGAAGGCGACUUUCUGGUCUGUUACUGACGCUGAUGUGCGUAAGCGUGGUGGAUGCAAACAGGAUUAGAUGAUCCCUGGUGAGUGCCACGCCGUAAACUGAUGACCCCCCAAGUGUUAGUGUGGGUUUCCGCCCCGUUGAG